RNAcentral lists this ribosomal RNA (520 nucleotides) under uncultured bacterium. RNAcentral's name for it is "bacterial SSU rRNA". It matches the Rfam family "Bacterial small subunit ribosomal RNA", at positions 137 to 642 of the family's 1533-position model. The record is from RNAcentral.
CGGGGGACAACAUUUGGAAACAGAUGCUAAUACCGCAUAACAGCGUUGUUCGCAUGAACAACCCUUAAAAGAUGGCUUCUCGCUAUCACUUCUGGAUGGACCUGCGGUGCAUUAGCUUGUUGGUGGGGUAACGGCCUACCAAGGCGAUGAUGCAUAGCCGAGUUGAGAGACUGAUCGGCCACAAUGGGACUGAGACACGGCCCAUACUCCUACGGGAGGCAGCAGUAGGGAAUCUUCCACAAUGGGCGCAAGCCUGAUGGAGCAACACCGCGUGAGUGAAGAAGGGUUUCGGCUCGUAAAGCUCUGUUGUUAAAGAAGAACACGUAUGAGAGUAACUGUUCAUACGUUGACGGUAUUUAACCAGAAAGUCACGGCUAACUACGUGCCAGCAGCCGCGGUAAUACGUAGGUGGCAAGCGUUAUCCGGAUUUAUUGUGCGUAAAGAGAGUGCAUGCGGUUUUCUAAGUCUGAUGUGAAAGCCUUCGGCUUAACCGGAGAAGUGCAUCGGAAACUGGAUAACU